This 60-nucleotide transfer RNA is filed under the name Brugia pahangi. RNAcentral's name for it is "tRNA-Glu". Lineage: Eukaryota; Metazoa; Nematoda; Chromadorea; Rhabditida; Onchocercidae. The record is from RNAcentral.
GUAAUAUUAGUAUAAACUUGUUAUUAUUUUUAAUUUUCGAUUAAAAGAUUAUAUAUUAUA